CUGUUAAAGGGGUUGUCCCACAAAAAAUAUUCUACAUUCUUCAAACCAGCACCUGGAUCUGAAUAGUUUUGUAACUGCAUGUAUUCAAAAAUGUAGUAUAGAUUUUCAAUAGAAUGGACCUUUUCGGC
Bufo bufo (common toad) is the source of this 128-nucleotide long non-coding RNA. RefSeq lists it as uncharacterized. The record is from RefSeq and is a predicted model, not a curated record. NCBI's taxonomy places the organism in Eukaryota, Metazoa, Chordata, Amphibia, Anura, Bufonidae. The transcript is spliced from 3 exons.